RNAcentral lists this ribosomal RNA (424 nucleotides) under uncultured prokaryote. RNAcentral describes it as "bacterial SSU rRNA". It matches the Rfam family "Bacterial small subunit ribosomal RNA", at positions 355 to 796 of the family's 1533-position model. The record is from RNAcentral.
UAGGGAAUCUUGGACAAUGGGCGAAAGCCUGAUCCAGCCAUGCCGCGUGAGUGAAGAAGGCCCUAGGGUUGUAAAGCUCUUUUGGCGGGGAAGAUAAUGACGGUACCCGCAGAAUAAGCCCCGGCUAACUUCGUGCCAGCAGCCGCGGUAAUACGAAGGGGGCUAGCGUUGUUCGGAAUUACUGGGCGUAAAGCGCACGCAGGCGGAUUGAUUAGUCAGAGGUGAAAUCCCAGGGCUCAACCUUGGAAUUGCCUUUGAUACUGUCAGUCUUGAGUCCGGGAGAGGUGAGUGGAAUUCCUAGUGUAGAGGUGAAAUUCGUAGAUAUUAGGAAGAACACCAGUGGCGAAGGCGGCUCACUGGCCCGGUACUGACGCUCAGGUGCGAAAGCGUGGGGAGCAAACAGGAUUAGAUACCCCCGUAGUCC